This 253-nucleotide ribosomal RNA is filed under the name uncultured bacterium. RNAcentral describes it as "partial 16S ribosomal RNA". It matches the Rfam family "Bacterial small subunit ribosomal RNA", at positions 524 to 776 of the family's 1533-position model. The record is from RNAcentral.
UACGAAGGGGGCUAGCGUUGUUCGGAAUUACUGGGCGUAAAGGGCGCGUAGGCGGCCCUCUAAGUCAGGCGUGAAAGCCCCGGGCUCAACCCGGGAACAGCGCUUGAGACUGGGGGGCUUGAGUUCGGGAGAGGAAAGUGGAAUUCCCGGUGUAGAGGUGAAAUUCGUAGAUAUUGGGAAGAACACCGGUGGCGAAGGCGGCUCUCUGGACCGACACUGACGCUGAGGCGCGAAAGCGUGGGGAGCAAACAGG